UAUACUAUGUCUCAAUCCAUCGAAGAUACUCCACUUGAGAGUAAUGUCCUUGUUGUCCAAAGAGCUCUCAACGUGCAAGUUAUGAGUGAAGACAACGAGUAGAGGAAGAAUAUUUUCCACACGUGAUAUCUUAUCAAUGGUAAGGUAUGUGGAAUGCUCAUUGACAAUGGUAAUUCUGCUAAUGUGGCAAGAACUUUACUCUUAGAAAGAGCAGGAUUGAC
Molecule: long non-coding RNA, 221 nt
Filed under: Carica papaya (papaya)
Lineage: Eukaryota; Viridiplantae; Streptophyta; Magnoliopsida; Brassicales; Caricaceae
Description: long non-coding RNA (CPAP_LNC013005)
Source: RNAcentral